UAUCAACCGGCAUAAGAGAAUUGGAUAGCUUACGUUCACUGCCGUUUUGAUGCUGUUCAGCUCUUCAGUAUCCAGUAACUGAGUAAUGAUCCAGACUUUGGAGUAGAGCAUCCAGUGACCCCCCCCUUAACCUCCAGUACCCCACUAAGAGAGAGCUUUCCACGGGUCCAUUCUCCACAGCCGCAGAACACCCUCACUUUGACUUUCAUGAUAAAGCUGAGAAAACAAUGGAACCGUUUCAGCUUGAGCGUCAGUCCAGAGCUGCCUUCUGAGUAACAGGCUGUCCAACAGUCGGAGGGAAGGACAGUAUGGAUGAGAGUGAACUCGUCUUUCUGGGAAGCCAUGACGACGGCCCUGCUGUGGCCUUCUCCAAAGAGAAGGCUGGACAGGUCAGGGAGGUCAGGGAGGUCAGGGACCGCUGGCCUGGCUCAGGCAUGGGACUAGGUUUGGGGCUGGAGCCAAAUGAGGGACAAUGCUCCUCAGGCUUCCACGCCUCGCACUCCCCCUCCUCCCCAGAUACGCUGGCUAACCUGGCCAUGGCCUCGUCACCACACCCCGGCCUGGUGAAGUCCACCUCCACAGAGCUGGAGAGCAAAGAGGCAGAAUCCUUACUAGGCACCAAGCCCUUACUUAGCCUGGUCAAGUCCCUCUCCACCGAGAUCUCCCGUCGUGAGCCUGAUAUCUACCUGUCCAAGUCUGACUCAAAGCUUCACAUGCCACCCUGGAAGCAGUUCAACCAGCC
Esox lucius (northern pike) is the source of this 742-nucleotide long non-coding RNA. NCBI's taxonomy places the organism in Eukaryota, Metazoa, Chordata, Actinopteri, Esociformes, Esocidae. The record is from Ensembl.